AGAGUCAGCCGGGUGGUCGCGGGCACGGCCAAGGCCGCGCCCGAGGAAAGUCCGGACUCCGAAGGGCAGGGAGCUGGGUAACGCCCAGGCGGGGCGACCCGACGGAAAGUGCCACAGAAAGGGAAACCGCCCGCCGGCGCUAUGGCGCAUGCGGCGCCGGUGAGCAAGGGUGAAAAGGUGGGGUAAGAGCCCACCAGCGGUUCUGGUGACAGGGCCGGCUUGGUAAACCCCUCCCGGAGCAAGGCCAAAUAGGAGCCGAUGCUGUGGCCCGCAGCGCUCGAGGCUCGGGUAGGCCGCUAGAGGCCGCCGGUAACGGCGGUCCCAGAUGGAUGACCACCACCCGGUGCUAACCGGGUACAGGAUCCGGCUUACAGGCUGGCUCUCUCC
This 387-nucleotide RNase P RNA is filed under the name Actinomycetes bacterium. RNAcentral describes it as "Actinobacteria bacterium RNase P RNA component class A". It matches the Rfam family "Bacterial RNase P class A". From Rfam's summary of the family: Ribonuclease P (RNase P) is a ubiquitous endoribonuclease, found in archaea, bacteria and eukarya as well as chloroplasts and mitochondria. Lineage: Bacteria; Bacillati; Actinomycetota; Actinomycetes. The record is from RNAcentral.